GACGAACGCUGGCGGCGUGCUUAACACAUGCAAGUCGUACGGUAAGGCCCUUUCGGGGGUACACGAGUGGCGAACGGGUGAGUAACACGUGAGUAACCUGCCCACAACUUUGGGAUAACGCUAGGAAGCUGGUGCUAAUACUGGAUAUGUGCUCCUGCUGCAUGGUGGGGGUUGGAAAGCUCCGGCGGUUGUGGAUGGACUCGCGGCCUAUCAGCUUGUUGGUGGGGUAGUGGCCUACCAAGGCGGCGACGGGUAGCCGGCCUGAGAGGGUGACCGGCCACAUUGGGACUGAGAUACGGCCCAGACUCCUACGGGAGGCAGCAGUGGGGAAUAUUGCACAAUGGGCGCAAGCCUGAUGCAGCAACGCCGCGUGCGGGAUGACGGCCUUCGGGUUGUAAACCGCUUUCAGCAGGGACGAAGCUUUUUGUGACGGUACCUGCAGAAGAAGCACCGGCUAACUACGUG
RNAcentral lists this ribosomal RNA (465 nucleotides) under uncultured bacterium. RNAcentral describes it as "partial 16S ribosomal RNA". It matches the Rfam family "Bacterial small subunit ribosomal RNA", at positions 28 to 507 of the family's 1533-position model. The record is from RNAcentral.